GACAGAGGGUGCAAACGUUGUUCGGAAUUACUGGGCGUAAAGCGCGUGUAGGCUGCUUCGCAAGUCAGAUGUGAAAGCCCUGGGCUCAACCCAGGAAGUGCAUUCGAAACUGCAGAGCUGGAGUCCUGGAGAGGAAGGCGGAAUUCUCGGUGUAGAGGUGAAAUUCGUAGAUAUCGAGAGGAACACCGGUGGCGAAGGCGGCCUUCUGGACAGUGACUGACGCUGAGACGCGAAAGCGUGGGGAGCAAACAGG
RNAcentral lists this ribosomal RNA (253 nucleotides) under uncultured bacterium. Its description in RNAcentral is "partial 16S ribosomal RNA". It matches the Rfam family "Bacterial small subunit ribosomal RNA", at positions 524 to 776 of the family's 1533-position model. The record is from RNAcentral.